GCACCAGUGGUGUAUGGUACACACUGUCACUUCGUAAAAUGUUCGUUUAGUGAAUAGUGAUUGAAGUCCGGGGUUCGACUCCCCGCUGGUGCA
Mycena galericulata is the source of this 93-nucleotide non-coding RNA. Lineage: Eukaryota; Fungi; Basidiomycota; Agaricomycetes; Agaricales; Mycenaceae. The record is from the annotation of a GenBank genome assembly.